RNAcentral lists this ribosomal RNA (430 nucleotides) under uncultured bacterium. RNAcentral describes it as "bacterial LSU rRNA". It matches the Rfam family "Bacterial large subunit ribosomal RNA", at positions 396 to 828 of the family's 2925-position model. The record is from RNAcentral.
ACCAACUGAUCCUUGAGUAAGGCGGGACACGUGUAAUCCUGUCUGAACAUGGGGGGGACCCACCCUCCAAGCCUAAAUACUCCCUGGUGACCGAUAGCGAACAAGUACCGUGAGGGAAAGGUGAAAAGCACCCCGAUGAGGGGAGUGAAAUAGACCUGAAACCGGAUGCCUACAAGCAGUCGGAGCCUCUUAUGGGGUGACGGCGUACCUUUUGUAUAAUGGGUCAGCGAGUUUCUGUUCGCGGCAAGCUUAAGCCGAUAGGUGUAGGCGCAGCGAAAGCGAGUCUGAACAGGGCGUUCAGUCGCGGGCAGAAGACCCGAAACCGAGUGAUCUAGCCAUGGCCAGGCUGAAGGUGGGGUAACACCCACUGGAGGGCCGAACCCACGCCUGUUGAAAAAGUCGGGGAUGAGCUGUGGCUAGGGGUGAAAGG